RNAcentral lists this ribosomal RNA (403 nucleotides) under bacterium. Its description in RNAcentral is "partial 16S ribosomal RNA". It matches the Rfam family "Bacterial small subunit ribosomal RNA", at positions 355 to 776 of the family's 1533-position model. The record is from RNAcentral.
UGGGGAAUAUUGCACAAUGGGGGAAACCCUGAUGCAGCGACGCCGCGUGAACGAUGAAGGUAUUCGUAUCGUAAAGUUCUGUCCUAUGGGAAGAUAAUGACAGUACCAUAGAAGAAAGCUCCGGCUAAAUACGUGCCAGCAGCCGCGGUAAUACGUAUGGAGCGAGCGUUGUCCGGAAUUAUUGGGCGUAAAGGGUACGCAGGCGGUUUAAUAAGUCGAAUGUUAAAGAUCGGGGCUCAACCCCGCAAAGCAUUGGAAACUGAUAAACUUGAGUAGUGGAGAGGAAAGUGGAAUUCCUAGUGUAGUGGUGAAAUACGUAGAUAUUAGGAGGAAUACCAGUAGCGAAGGCGACUUUCUGGACACAAACUGACGCUGAGGUACGAAAGCGUGGGGAGCAAACAGG